Molecule: small nucleolar RNA, 248 nt
Filed under: Aspergillus clavatus NRRL 1
Lineage: Eukaryota; Fungi; Ascomycota; Eurotiomycetes; Eurotiales; Aspergillaceae
Description: Small nucleolar RNA snR191
Rfam family: Small nucleolar RNA snR191
Source: Rfam by way of RNAcentral
UGCCAUCGCUAAGUCAAGUCUCCUUCCUGCGGCUUUUGUGUCGUGCUAUUCUCUAUGGAAGUUUGUCUGUUACAGCUUUGGCAGAUUGACGCUUGCCCGCGCCGACCUUCAUUCUGAAGUUAGGCUGAUCGGUUUUCGUUUUGGAAGCCGGUCGCAAAGGGCCAAGCAGUGUUCUGUUUGUGAGUUGAGUGCUGCUUCUGCCACUUGGCAGCUUCGUGGCAGUCCUCUUAGUAACAUUUCACACAUCA